Molecule: ribosomal RNA, 413 nt
Filed under: uncultured Methanosaeta sp.
Lineage: Archaea; Methanobacteriati; Methanobacteriota; Methanomicrobia; Methanotrichales; Methanotrichaceae
Description: bacterial SSU rRNA
Rfam family: Archaeal small subunit ribosomal RNA
Source: RNAcentral
UCUCGACCGGGGCGACAGCAAUAUGAAGGUCAGGCUGAAGACCUUACCGGAUUAGCUGAGAGGUGGUGCAUGGCGUCGUCAGUUCGUACUGUGAAGCAUCCUGUUAAGUCAGGCAACGAGCGAGACCCACGCCCACAGUUGCCAGCGUACUCUCUGGAGUGACGGGUACACUGUGGGGACCGCCGCUGCUAAAGCGGAGGAAGGAAUGGGCAACGGUAGGUCAGUAUGCCCCGAAUAUCCCGGGCUACACGCGAGCUACAAUGGUUGGUACAAUGGGUAUCUACCCCGAAAGGGGACGGGAAUCUCCUAAAACCAAUCUUAGUUCGGAUUGAGGGCUGCAACUCGCCCUCAUGAAGCUGGAAUCCGUAGUAAUCGCGUUUCAACAGAACGCGGUGAAUACGUCCCUGCUCCUU